GUUUUUUCAUUUCAUCAAACAAGCCCUUAAACUUAAGAGUUAUUCAAAUUAGGCACAGCUUAUUUGAAACAGGAUACAACCUCCACCACCGGGUAAACAAGGGUAGUUAAAACUAAGUGGGCCUAAAAGCAGCCACCUUCCAAAAAGCGUCAAAGCUUAUCUACUCCAACCCACAAUUUCUAAAAUACUCCCUAACCCUUCAUUCCUACUGACCCCUUUUAUAUUAUUAUAAAAAUAAUUAUGCUAGAACUAGUAACAAGAAGUUGCCCUUCUCCAUAAUGUAAGUAUAAACCAAAACGGACCUUCCAUUGGUAAUUAACGUAAAUGUAAACCCCAUAAUAACAUAACCAGAAAACCUUAUGGCCCCACACGUUACUCUAACACUAGAACAUUACAGGAAAGAUUAAAAGAGAAAGAAGGAACUCGGCAAAUUUUAACCCCGCCUGUUUACCAAAAACAUCGCCUCUUGAUCAAACAUAAGAGGUCCAGCCUGCCCAGUGACAAAAUUCAACGGCCGCGGUACACUAACCGUGCGAAGGUAGCAUAAUCAUUUGUUCUUUAAAUAAGGACUAGUAUCAACGGCAUCACGAGGGUUAUACUGUCUCCUAUCUCUAAUCAGUGAAACUGAUCCCCCCGUGAAGAAGCGGGGAUUUAGCUAUAAGACGAGAAGACCCCAUGGAGCUUUAAACCCAACAUGCACCCCCUCAUCCAAAUACCAACUUAACCUAGAGGACCUACAUGUCGGUUUUAGGCUGGGGGGGCCACGGAGUAAAAUUAAACCUCCAUAACAAAUGGGCUAACACCCUUAUCCAUGAUUUUACAAAUCUAAGAAUUACCAAAAUAAUGUUUAAUGACCCGAUAAUUCGAUCAAUGAACCAAGUUACCCUGGGGAUAACAGCGCAAUCUACUUCAAGAGCUCUUAUCGACAAGUAGGUUUACGACCUCGAUGUUGGAUCAGGGUAUCCUAGUGGUGCAACCGCUAC
RNAcentral lists this ribosomal RNA (983 nucleotides) under Odorrana jingdongensis (odor frog). Its description in RNAcentral is "partial 16S ribosomal RNA". It matches the Rfam family "Bacterial large subunit ribosomal RNA", at positions 944 to 2565 of the family's 2925-position model. The record is from RNAcentral. Lineage: Eukaryota; Metazoa; Chordata; Amphibia; Anura; Ranidae.